This 496-nucleotide ribosomal RNA is filed under the name uncultured bacterium. RNAcentral's name for it is "partial 16S ribosomal RNA". It matches the Rfam family "Bacterial small subunit ribosomal RNA", at positions 28 to 506 of the family's 1533-position model. The record is from RNAcentral.
GAUGAACGCUGGCGGCGUGCCUAAUACAUGCAAGUCGAGCGAACGGACGAGAAGCUUGCUUCUCUGAUGUUAGCGGCGGACGGGUGAGUAACACGUGGAUAACCUACCUAUAAGACUGGGAUAACUUCGGGAAACCGGAGCUAAUACCGGAUGAUAUUUUGAACCGCAUGGUUCAAAAGUGAAAGACGGUCUUGCUGUCACUUAUAGAUGGAUCCGCGCUGCAUUAGCUAGUUGGUAAGGUAACGGCUUACCAAGGCAACGAUGCAUAGCCGACCUGAGAGGUGGAUCGGCCCCCCUGGAACUGAGACCCGGUCCAGCACCCCACGGGGGGCAGCAGGAGGGAAUCUUCCGCAAUGGGCGAAAGCCUGACGGAGCAACGCCGCGGGAGUGAAGAAGGUCUUCGGAUCGUAAAACUCUUUUAUUAGGGAAGAACAUAUGUGUAAGUAACUGUGCACCCCUUGGCGGUACCUAAUCAGAAAGCCCCGGCCAACUACGU